Anopheles funestus (African malaria mosquito) is the source of this 283-nucleotide long non-coding RNA. RefSeq lists it as uncharacterized. The record is from RefSeq and is a predicted model, not a curated record. The transcript has 3 exons. NCBI's taxonomy places the organism in Eukaryota, Metazoa, Arthropoda, Insecta, Diptera, Culicidae.
UGGCUAAGGUGUCUUGGCUAAUGUGUCUUGGCUAAAGUGUCUUGGCUAAGGUGUCUCGGCUAAGGUGUCUUGGCUAAUGUGUCUUGGCUAAGGUGUCUUGGCUAAGGUGUCUUGGCUAAGGUGUCUUGGCUAAGGUGUCUUGGCUAAUGUGUCUUGGCUUAGGUGUCUUGGCUAAUGUGUCUUGGCUAAGGUGUCUUGGCUAAUGUGUCUUGGCUAAGGUGUCUUGGCUAAGGUGUCUUGGCUAAGGUGUCUUGGCUAAUUUGUCUUGGCUAAGGUGUCUUGG